UACGAAGGGGGCUAGCGUUGUUCGGAAUUACUGGGCGUAAAGGGCGCGUAGGCUGUGCUGCAAGUCAGGCGUGAAAGGCCCGGGCUCAACCUGGGAACUGCGCAUGAUACUGCGGCGCUUGAAGACGGGAGAGGAUGGCGGAAUUCCCAGUGUAGAGGUGAAAUUCGUAGAUAUUGGGAAGAACACCGGUGGCGAAGGCGGCCAUCUGGCCCGUGAUUGACGCUGAGGCGCGAAAGCGUGGGGAGCAAACAGGAUUAGAUACCCUGGUAGUCCACGCCGUAAACGAUGAGUGCUAGACGUCGGGGAGCUUGCUCUUCGGUGUCGCCGCUAACGCAUUAAGCACUCCGCCUGGGGAGUACGGUCGCAAGAUUAAAACUCAAAG
RNAcentral lists this ribosomal RNA (382 nucleotides) under uncultured bacterium. RNAcentral's name for it is "bacterial SSU rRNA". It matches the Rfam family "Bacterial small subunit ribosomal RNA", at positions 524 to 906 of the family's 1533-position model. The record is from RNAcentral.